Molecule: ribosomal RNA, 495 nt
Filed under: uncultured bacterium
Lineage: Bacteria
Description: partial 16S ribosomal RNA
Rfam family: Bacterial small subunit ribosomal RNA
Source: RNAcentral
GACGAACGCUGGCGGCGUGCCUAAUACAUGCAAGUAGAACGCUGAAGGAGGAGCUUGCUCUUCUGGAUGAGUUGCGAACGGGUGAGUAACGCAUAGGUAACCUGCCUGGUAGCGAGGGAUAACUAUUGGAAACGAUAGCUAAUACCGCAUAACAGUAGAUGUUGCAUGACAUUUGCUUAAAAGGUGCAAUUGCACCACUACCAGAUGGACCUGCGUUGUAUUAGCUAGUUGGUGGGGUAACGGCUCACCAAGGCGACGAUACAUAGCCGACCUGAGAGGGGGAUCGGCCACACUGGGACUGAGACACGGCCCAGACUCCUACGGGAGGCAGCAGUAGGGAAUCUUCGGCAAUGGACGGAAGUCUGACCGAGCAACGCCGCGUGAGUGAAGAAGGUUUUCGGAUCGUAAAGCUCUGUUGUAAGAGAAGAACGAGUGUGAGAGUGGAAAGUUCACACUGUGACGGUAUCUUACCAGAAAGGGACGGCUAACUACGUG